UAGGGAAUCUUCCGCAAUGGACGCAAGUCUGACGGAGCAACGCCGCGUGAGUGAAGAAGGAUUUCGGUUCGUAAAACUCUGUUGUUAGAGAAGAACAGCGCAUAGAGUAACUGUUAUGCGUGUGACGGUAUCUAACCAGAAAGCCGCGGCUAACUACGUGCCAGCAGCCGCGGUAAUACGUAGGUGGCAAGCGUUGUCCGGAUUUAUUGGGCGUAAAGCGAGCGCAGGCGGUCAAUUAAGUCUGAUGUGAAAGCCCCCGGCUCAACCGGGGAGGGUCAUUGGAAACUGGUUGACUUGAGUGCAGAAGAGGAGAGUGGAAUUCCAUGUGUAGCGGUGAAAUGCGUAGAUAUAUGGAGGAACACCAGUGGCGAAGGCGACUCUCUGGUCUGUAACUGACGCUGAGGUUCGAAAGCGUGGGUAGCAAACAGG
RNAcentral lists this ribosomal RNA (429 nucleotides) under Bacteroidota bacterium. RNAcentral describes it as "Bacteroidetes bacterium partial 16S ribosomal RNA". It matches the Rfam family "Bacterial small subunit ribosomal RNA", at positions 355 to 776 of the family's 1533-position model. The record is from RNAcentral. Lineage: Bacteria; Pseudomonadati; Bacteroidota.